AAGCCUGGCUUGUCAUUGGACUAUUUUUUGCGGCUGAAAUAUGCAGCAAGUCCGAAAAUUAAUGACGGUGUCGUGUUUGACCCUAAAUGCAACGAGCUUUUUAUAGCACGCAUUGAAGUGGUUAACCGACCUUGGUCUUUAAACCAUACAUUUUUCUAAAGGUUGACCUCGGAUCAGGUAGGAAUACCCGCUGAACUUAA
RNAcentral lists this unclassified non-coding RNA (200 nucleotides) under soil metagenome. RNAcentral's name for it is "partial contains internal transcribed spacer 2 and large subunit ribosomal RNA". The record is from RNAcentral.